RNAcentral lists this unclassified non-coding RNA (352 nucleotides) under soil metagenome. RNAcentral describes it as "partial contains 5.8S ribosomal RNA, internal transcribed spacer 2, and large subunit ribosomal RNA". The stretch from base 1 to 120 matches the Rfam family "5.8S ribosomal RNA", at positions 35 to 154 of the family's 154-position model. The record is from RNAcentral.
GAUGAAGAACGUAGCGAAAUGCGAUAAGUAAUGUGAGUUGCAGAAUUCAGUGAAUCAUCGAAUCUUUGAACGCACAUUGCGCCCGCCAGUAUUCUGGCGGGCAUGCCUGUUCGAGCGUCAUUACAACCCUCAGGCCCCCGGGCCUGGCGUUGGGGAUCGGCGGAGCCCCCCGUGGGCACACGCCGUCCCCCAAAUGCAGUGGCGGUCCCGCCGCAGCUUCCAUCGCGUAGUAGCUAACACCUCGCGACUGGAGAGCGGCGCGGCCACGCCGUAAAACACCCAACUCUUCUGAAGUUGACCUCGAAUCAGGUAGGAAUACCCGCUGAACUUAAGCAUAUCAAUAAGCGGAGGA